GAUGAACGCUGGCGGCGUGCCUAAUACAUGCAAGUCGAGCGAACGGACGAGAAGCUUGCUUUUCUGAUGUUAGCGGCGGACGGGUGAGUAACACGUGGAUAACCUACCUAUAAGACUGGGAUAACUUCGGGAAACCGGAGCUAAUACCGGAUAAUAUUUUGAACCGCAUGGUUCAAAAGUGAAAGACGGGCUUGCUGUCACUUAUAGAUGGAUCCGCGCUGCAUUAGCUAGGUGGUAAGGUAACGGCUUACCAAGGCAACGAUGCAUAGCCGACCUGAGAGAGUGAUCGGCCACACUGGAAGUGAGAGACGGUCCAGACUCCUACGGGAGGAAGCAGUAGGGAAUCUUCCGCAAUGGGCGAAAGCCUGACGGAGCAACGCCGCGUGGGUGAUGAAGGUCUUCGGAUCGUAAAACUCUGUUAUUAGGGAAGAACAUAUGUGUAAGUAACUGUGCACAUCUUGACGGUACCUAAUCAGAAAGCAACGGCUAACUCCGUG
Molecule: ribosomal RNA, 497 nt
Filed under: uncultured bacterium
Lineage: Bacteria
Description: partial 16S ribosomal RNA
Rfam family: Bacterial small subunit ribosomal RNA
Source: RNAcentral